Molecule: ribosomal RNA, 425 nt
Filed under: uncultured bacterium
Lineage: Bacteria
Description: partial 16S ribosomal RNA
Rfam family: Bacterial small subunit ribosomal RNA
Source: RNAcentral
GUGGGGAAUAUUGGGCAAUGGGCGAAAGCCUGACCCAGCAACGCCGCGUGAAGGAAGAAGGUUUUCGGAUCGUAAACUUCUAUCCUUGGUGAAGAUAAUGACGGUAGCCAAGAAGGAAGCCCCGGCUAACUACGUGCCAGCAGCCGCGGUAAUACGUAGGGGGCAAGCGUUGUCCGGAAUGAUUGGGCGUAAAGGGCGCGUAGGCGGCCCGGUAAGUCUGAAGUGAAAGUCCUGCUUUUAAGGUGGGAAUUGCUUUGGAUACUGUCGGGCUUGAGUGCAGGAGAGGUAAGCGGAAUUCCCGGUGUAGCGGUGAAAUGCGUAGAGAUAGGGAGGAACACCAGUGGCGAAGGCGGCUUACUGGACUGUAACUGACGCUGAGGCGCGAAAGUGUGGGGAGCAAACAGGAUUAGAAACCCUGGUAGUCC